GAGCCGGUCUCGCGCAAUGGAGCCCCGUGAACCAUGUCAGGCGGGGAACCGAGCAGCAUUAAGCGGGAUGUUCCAUGUGCCGCGAGGACGCCGGUUCCGU
This is a non-coding RNA of Oscillibacter sp. 57_20, 100 nucleotides long. The record is from Rfam. NCBI's taxonomy places the organism in Bacteria, Bacillati, Bacillota, Clostridia, Eubacteriales, Oscillospiraceae.